This 478-nucleotide ribosomal RNA is filed under the name uncultured bacterium. RNAcentral's name for it is "partial 16S ribosomal RNA". It matches the Rfam family "Bacterial small subunit ribosomal RNA", at positions 28 to 523 of the family's 1533-position model. The record is from RNAcentral.
GACGAACGCUGGCGGCGUGCUUAACACAUGCAAGUCGAACGGUAAGGCCCUUCGGGGUACACGAGUGGCGAACGGGUGAGUAACACGUGGGUGAUCUGCCCUGCACUUCGGGAUAAGCCUGGGAAACUGGGUCUAAUACCGGAUAGGACCACUGCCUGCAUGGGUGGUGGUGGAAAGCUUUUGCGGUGUGGGAUGGGCCCGCGGCCUAUCAGCUUGUUGGUGGGGUGAUGGCCUACCAAGGCGACGACGGGUAGCCGGGCUGAGAGGGUGACCGGCCACACUGGGACUGAGAUACGGGCCAGACUCCUACGGGAGGAAGCAGUGGGGAAUAUUGCACAAUGGGCGCAAGCCUGAUGCAGCGACGCCGCGUGAGGGAUGACGGCCUUCGGGUUGUAAACCUCUUUCAGCACCGACGAAGCGCAAGUGACGGUAGGUGCAGAAGAAGGACCGGCCAACUACGUGCCAGCCGCCGCCGUAA